Molecule: ribosomal RNA, 373 nt
Filed under: Arthrobacter sp. 10.26ST-Bb
Lineage: Bacteria; Bacillati; Actinomycetota; Actinomycetes; Micrococcales; Micrococcaceae
Description: bacterial SSU rRNA
Rfam family: Bacterial small subunit ribosomal RNA
Source: RNAcentral
GAUGACGGCCUUCGGGUUGUAAACCUCUUUCAGUAGGGAAGAAGCGAAAGUGACGGUACCUGCAGAAGAAGCGCCGGCUAACUACGUGCCAGCAGCCGCGGUAAUACGUAGGGCGCAAGCGUUAUCCGGAAUUAUUGGGCGUAAAGAGCUCGUAGGCGGUUUGUCGCGUCUGCCGUGAAAGUCCGGGGCUCAACUCCGGAUCUGCGGUGGGUACGGGCAGACUAGAGUGAUGUAGGGGAGACUGGAAUUCCUGGUGUAGCGGUGAAAUGCGCAGAUAUCAGGAGGAACACCGAUGGCGAAGGCAGGUCUCUGGGCAUUAACUGACGCUGAGGAGCGAAAGCAUGGGGAGCGAACAGGAUUAGAUACCCCUGGU